Gavialis gangeticus (Gharial) is the source of this 310-nucleotide long non-coding RNA. RefSeq lists it as uncharacterized. The record is from RefSeq and is a predicted model, not a curated record. The transcript has 3 exons. NCBI's taxonomy places the organism in Eukaryota, Metazoa, Chordata, Crocodylia, Gavialidae.
UAGGACUACACUUCCCGCCGUGCCCCGCGCUGGCCGGCCGGGCUGGCUCUGGCUGGGGGAGGCUGGUUCCUAUUUAAAUCCAGGCAGCUGGAAAAUGGCGGCGCGAGGCUGAGUGCGGGGAAACGGAGCGGAGGAGGCGCGGCGGAGCCCGGCCGAAAACCAGGAUCCUUGGUUAUCAUAACUAGAGAUACUUAAGUGAUGGAGUACUCAUGAAGUAUUUUUGAAGAGGCAGAUUUUUACAAGGUUACUGCUAGACUGUUUAACACAGGAGAACAUCAAAACACCAGGUAAAGUUUUGACUCUGAAAUGA